AACUUUCAGCAAUGGAUCACUUGGUUCUCGCAACGAUGAAGAACGCAGCGAAAUGCGAUACGUAAUGUGAAUUGCAGGUUUUCGUGAAUCAUCGAAUCUUUGAACGCACAUUGCACCCUCUGGUAUUCCGGAGGGUAUGCCUGUUUGAGCGUCAUUUCUCUCUCAAAUCCCCCUCGGGGUUUUUUGGUAUUGAGUGAUACUCUACUUGUGUUAACUUGAAAUACGGUUUUGGCAAGGGUGUGUUGGAUUUUUCAACCGUCGUCCUCGAUAAUGUAUUAGGUUCUACCAACUCCGUUAUAGUGUGAUGUCUGAUUGUGCCAACAUGUUAAGCUCGGCCUAACAAUAUAUUCUCUAAGUUUGACCUCAAAUCAGGUAGGACUACCCGCUGAACUUAAGCAUAUCAAUAAGCGGAGGCU
RNAcentral lists this unclassified non-coding RNA (416 nucleotides) under uncultured Saccharomycetales. RNAcentral's name for it is "sequence contains ITS2". The stretch from base 1 to 154 matches the Rfam family "5.8S ribosomal RNA". The record is from RNAcentral. Lineage: Eukaryota; Fungi; Ascomycota; Saccharomycetes.